Molecule: long non-coding RNA, 966 nt
Organism: Pleuronectes platessa (European plaice)
Lineage: Eukaryota; Metazoa; Chordata; Actinopteri; Pleuronectiformes; Pleuronectidae
Exons: 3
Source: RefSeq, a predicted model, not a curated record
UUUUCCAGAGAAAGCAGUUGGAUUUUACCGCGCUAAGAACAUCUGUUAUUGUUGUGGAAAGGCUGGUCAUUACAUUCGAGAGUGCCCGAAGAUGUUGAACAAAAGUGUUAAGGUUCCUAAACCAGUCAGGAUUAGUGAGGGGAUUCCUCAGAGUUUCAUGGUGAAAGCAGAUCCUGGAACCGAAGGAGCCAUGUUAACCAGCAGUGGAGAAUAUGCAGUACCUGCAAUAGAUGCUGGACGGUUACACAGGAUGUUGAAUACAUUACCUUGACGUGUGAACAGUCCAAUCGCGAAGCAGACGAGCGCUUCAGAAGUUCAGUGUCUCUGACAUCAUCUUCCACCAGUCCAUCAGCUCCUCCCGCUCCUCCUCCUUCCUCUCCAUCAGAGACUCCAGCUCAAAGUCCACCUGAAACACAAGCAGUCGAAACAUUAUACUGUUGUCUUAGUGGGCUGUAUCCAGUAAAAUAAUACAAAUCAAUACAUAAAAAAAUAUUUAUAAAUAUAUAAAUAAAUACAGAAAUAAAUAAAUCAAAAAUGUAUAAUUCACAGACACAUUUCUAAAAGGAUUAUUACUCCUACAAAGGAUCAGCUGAUGAAACACUAACAAAAAAACGAAUACGUUUGAGAACUCAAAAUUUAAGUAAUUCUUCAAACAAACAUUUGCACUUUCCAGCUUUUCCCGUGUGAAAAUGUGUUGUUUUAAUAUGUCUCAGUAAUUUGGAUGCAUUCACUUAGGAUCAGGGACAUUUUAACCAGCAUUUUCCCUUCAUACAGUCAUUACUUCUGUCGUGGAGGCUAUGUUUGCAUUGCUGUUUGUCUUUUAGCAGGAUUAUGCAAAAACUACUGAAACAUUUUUAUUAAAAACUUUCUCACUCUCUUAAACAUUGUCAGAUUUUGUGUUUUUCAGCAUUGAGUGAAUUUGUGAUAAUGCAGUGAUCUUGAUGUGAAAAAUCCGGCUCAUAAAAC